RNAcentral lists this ribosomal RNA (614 nucleotides) under uncultured bacterium. RNAcentral describes it as "bacterial SSU rRNA". It matches the Rfam family "Bacterial small subunit ribosomal RNA", at positions 338 to 944 of the family's 1533-position model. The record is from RNAcentral.
CCUACGGGAGGCAGCAGUGGGGAAUUUUGGACAAUGGGCGAAAGCCUGAUCCAGCAAUGCCGCGUGAGUGAAGAAGGCCUUCGGGUUGUAAAGCUCUUUUGUCAGGGAAGAAACGGUGAAAGCUAAUAUCUUUUGCUAAUGACGGUACCUGAAGAAUAAGCACCGGCUAACUACGUGCCAGCAGCCGCGGUAAUACGUAGGGUGCAAGCGUUAAUCGGAAUUACUGGGCGUAAAGCGUGCGCAGGCGGUUUUGUAAGUCUGAUGUGAAAUCCCCGGGCUCAACCUGGGAAUUGCAUUGGAGACUGCAAGGCUAGAAUCUGGCAGAGGGGGGUAGAAUUCCACGUGUAGCAGUGAAAUGCGUAGAUAUGUGGAGGAACACCGAUGGCGAAGGCAGCCCCCUGGGUCAAGAUUGACGCUCAUGCACGAAAGCGUGGGGAGCAAACAGGAUUAGAUACCCUGGUAGUCCACGCCCUAAACGAUGUCUACUAGUUGUCGGGUCUUAAUUGACUUGGUAACGCAGCUAACGCGUGAAGUAGACCGCCUGGGGAGUCGGUCGCAAGAUUAAAACNCGAAAGAUUGACGNNGAGAGNGCGAGACGACGACGAGGGAGGAGG